GCCUAGGUGGUGUAACGGCAGCAUAGGAGAUUGUGGCUCUCCUGACGCGGGUUCGAUUCCCGCCCUGGGCCCCA
RNAcentral lists this transfer RNA (74 nucleotides) under Candidatus Thorarchaeota archaeon. RNAcentral's name for it is "tRNA-His". It matches the Rfam family "tRNA". From Rfam's summary of the family: Transfer RNA (tRNA) molecules are approximately 80 nucleotides in length. Their secondary structure includes four short double-helical elements and three loops (D, anti-codon, and T loops). Further hydrogen bonds mediate the characteristic L-shaped molecular structure. tRNAs have two regions of fundamental functional importance: the anti-codon, which is responsible for specific mRNA codon recognition, and the 3' end, to which the tRNAs corresponding amino acid is attached (by aminoacyl-tRNA synthetases). tRNAs cope with the degeneracy of the genetic code in two manners: having more than one tRNA (with a specific anti-codon) for a particular amino acid; and 'wobble' base-pairing, i.e. permitting non-standard base-pairing at the 3rd anti-codon position. The record is from RNAcentral. Lineage: Archaea; Promethearchaeati; Candidatus Thorarchaeota.